Molecule: small nuclear RNA, 204 nt
Organism: Lathyrus oleraceus (garden pea)
Lineage: Eukaryota; Viridiplantae; Streptophyta; Magnoliopsida; Fabales; Fabaceae
Product: U2 spliceosomal RNA
Exons: 1
Source: RefSeq, a predicted model, not a curated record
AUAUCUUUCUCGACCUUUUGGCUAAGAGCAAGUGUAGUAUAAGUGUAGUAUCUGUGCUUAUCAGUUUUACCACUGAUAGUGGAUCAAUGGUCCACAUGAUAUUAAAUUUAUUUCUUGAGGGAGGAAUGCACACAGUAGCUUGCUGUUGAGCCUCUUGUGUGUCGCUCUUGCAUUUGCACUAUAACAAUUGCUGGUGCACCCCAC